CAGAACGAACGCUGGCGGCACGCCUAACACAUGCAAGUCGAGCGCUACCUUCGGGUGGAGCGGCGGACGGGUUAGUAACGCGUGGGAACAUACCCUUUUCUACGGAAUAGCCUCGGGAAACUGAGAGUAAUACCGUAUACGCCCUUCGGGGGAAAGAUUUAUCGGUUAAGGAUUGGCCCGCGUUAGAUUAGAUAGUUGGUGGGGUAAUGGCCUACCAAGUCUACGAUCUAUAGCUGGUUUGAGAGGAUGAUCAGCAACACUGGGACUGAGACACGGCCCAGACUCCUACGGGAGGCAGCAGUGGGGAAUCUUAGACAAUGGGCGCAAGCCUGAUCUAGCGAUGCCGCGUGAGUGACGAAGGUCUUAGGAUCGUAAAGCUCUUUCGCCAGGGAUGAUAAUGACAGUACCUGGUAAAGAAACCCCGGCUAACUCCGUGCCAGCAGCCGCGGUAAUACGGAGGGGGUUAGCGUUGUUCGGAAUUACUGGGCGUAAAGCGCACGUAGGCGGACUAUUAAGUUAGAGGUGAAAUCCCGGGGCUCAACCCCGGAACUGCCUUUAAUACUGGUAGUCUAGAGUUCGAGAGAGGUAAGUGGAAUUCCGAGUGUAGAGGUGAAAUUCGUAGAUAUUCGGAGGAACACCAGUGGCGAAGGCGGCUUACUGGCUCGAUACUGACGCUGAGGUGCGAAAGUGUGGGGAGCAAACAGGAUUAGAUACCCUGGUAGUCCACACCGUAAACGAUGAAUGCCAGACGUCAGGGGGCUUGCCCUUUGGUGUCACACCUAACGGAUUAAGCAUCC
RNAcentral lists this ribosomal RNA (797 nucleotides) under uncultured Loktanella sp. RNAcentral's name for it is "bacterial SSU rRNA". It matches the Rfam family "Bacterial small subunit ribosomal RNA", at positions 25 to 869 of the family's 1533-position model. The record is from RNAcentral. Lineage: Bacteria; Pseudomonadati; Pseudomonadota; Alphaproteobacteria; Rhodobacterales; Roseobacteraceae.